Neopsephotus bourkii (Bourke's parrot) is the source of this 2512-nucleotide long non-coding RNA. RefSeq lists it as uncharacterized. The transcript is spliced from 5 exons. The record is from RefSeq and is a predicted model, not a curated record. Lineage: Eukaryota; Metazoa; Chordata; Aves; Psittaciformes; Psittacidae.
ACUUGGAAGGUAGAUGGAAAAAAAGUCAAUUGUCUGUUUUAACAUAGGAGUUCAUCAAAUUCUCUUACAGAGACUGGGGGAAUACCAUCAUCUGGGCUUUGGUGCUGGUGCCCAGCAUCUCCACAGUGUUCAGAGCAGUCCCUGCUCUGGGACACAUUAGCCUAAGGCCCAGGAUGGUUAUGGCUUUAUACUGAGCUGAAUCCUGGAGCAAAUUGGCAAAAAAUGCUGCAAAAGAGGAUCUUCAUUAGUGUGAGUGUAAAACUUGAGAGCACACAUAAGUCAGGUGUAAGCAAUAUUGGCACUGGAGCAAAGCACCUCUCGGGCUGGGCUGCAGCAGAGGCCUGUCAGCAGGCUCCUAGCAUCAGACAUGUAUUAGUUGUGUCAGGAAUUAGUGAGAGUUCACUGACUGAAUAAUAAUGUGCCAAAGGCAGUUUUUCAUCUUUACAAAUGUAAUUAAAGAAAGCAGGGGGAAAAAUUAUUGCACCAGGGGAGGAACCAGGGCUUCCAACGGUGUUGACUGCUGUCUCUAUUGCAAGGAUGAGAUGUGAAAUGCGGAGGGGAGAGGGUAAAGAUGGCAAUGAGGGCCUGAGCAGUGAUGAGGAUCAUGCAAUUACAGCUGUGAUGGGGGCGUUGCUCUUUACAGAAAAGGAAGGCAAUGGGAAAACAGAAGUGCUGUCCUUGUGACUCAGGAGCUGGACCCAUCCCCAAGGAUGGGGCUCCCACCGCAGCCAUGAGCACGCCCUUCAGGAAACCGGUUAUGGGUCGGCCCCUGCCCAGGCUGUGUUGGAGCAGGUGGGAAAAGCUGCACAAUCUGGGACUGGCUCCCCCUUCUCCUCAGCCAUUCCUGAACAUUCUUAGUGUUGGUUGCAGCAUUGGUGACACAACCCCAAACUGUCCCCUGCCUUGGGCAGGUAUCUGCUCCAUUUAUGUCUCCUCAAAGAGGUGCUGCAGGGGCCAUGCUGUGACACUGCCUGCACCCCGGGAGCAGUGGGCAUGUCCCCACUGUCCAGUGGCCCCUGCAACAUCCUCAGACAUUGCUCUCCAGCAUCCCCAACAGCUGCUGGUGCCAUUAUUUCAAUAGUGACUACUGGUACCUGGUCAUCAGAAAUCCCAUCAGGCACACUCCAAAACUGCCUCUCAUGGUAGUGACAGCAGCAGGAAAGAGAAGACUCCCACAGUGUUUUUAAUAGCAGGUCAGCAAUUACCAGGCUACGACCCCUCUAACUGCUGCAACUGUGGAGAUGCUACCAAAGGCUGAUCGAUACUAGUCUGAGGAAUCAAUAUGGACGUGGAUGACGGUGCUGUUUGCCAUUCAGAACCUGCACAAGCUGGAAAAAACAGGGCACCAUUGAUCCCAAAGAUUCAAAUUCCUUGCCUGGGAAUUGUCCCAGGUGCUCCUGCCCUGUACUGGAGUCAUACCUGCAGAUCAAACAGCUGCUUCUGAAGAAAAAUAAUAAGGCUUAAGUUUGAAGAAGUCCAUAGAGCAAAGGGCAGCAGCAGCACUGGAGCAGCAAAGCUGCCUUCCAUCCACACCAGCACCCAGCAAGGUCUCUGAGCUCCCGUGCAAGUUGCUGGUAUCAGCACCCCAUGGCUGUGAGGUCCUUUGCUUCUCCCAUGCCUUCUGGUAAGUUUGACGCUGGAUGAGACUGCCCUGCACCUAGAAUAGUAGUGCCUUCUCCUUGGACAGAGGUGGGUAAAACCCAGGAAUAUCCACCUGGACACAAGCAAGGUGCCUGCCUCUGCAGGAGAUGCUGUGUGCACAGGGGUGGGUGGAUCGAGCCUCGCAGCUUGUUCAUAUUUCCCCCACACAAGUCACAGAAACAAACAUCCGCCAUCUGGUCAGCGUUAAAGCGAUGGCCAGGAAGAGGAUCCCACACGUCUUCAUCUUCUCCUCCUCAGCAAUUACCUUCCUUUCAGUGCCAUCUGAGAGCUUUCUCCUUCCUAUUUGAUCUUCCUUCUCCAUCCUGCUCCCAAAGCACAUGCUGUCCCCUGCCCAACAGCACUGGGAAAUGCUCAGAGUCACUCAGUGGGAAUGCAUCCAACCUCCCCAGUCCAGCCCAGCAGUAAUGUGGAGCCACAGGCAUGAUGCUGCUGGGGAGGUGGCUCCAGUCCUCAUUUCUUCCCCUUCAAAUGAAGGAUCUGGUUGAUGGGUACCUGCCAGCACCACAGCACACACAGGGAGGUACCUCUCCCCAGCCCAGAUUUAGCUGCUCGCACACAGAAUUCAGCAAAACCCCCUACACAUCACAGCUCAGCCAGUCCUGACCUUCCAGGUAACUUGCCUGCUUCCAAGCUAACCAGGGCAUUCAACACAAACACCAGAGGGGUUAAUGCCCAAAACGAUUCAAGGAAAAAAAAAAAAUGGGGUCCUUUUUUAAUUAGGAAGAAUAUAAGAGACAGAUAAUAUGUCUGAUUAAUUAUGGCUGUCUUUCUUCCAGUGCCGCUGCAUCUGGGGACACUGGAAAGCAGUUCCUAAUGGUACUGCUUUAUCUAAGAGGAUGAUGGAUAGUGG